AGCGAUUCCAUUAUUAUGUCGGUUGGAGCCAACCAUCUAUCCACAGCGUGCAGCGGUGAGAGACGAGCAUUCUCAACAGCUGUGAUUAAAGCCGCAAAUCUGAUAGUUUCUCGGCGUGGAGACCCGGUGACAUCACAGCACAGAGAAACAGCUGACUCCUGAACUUUUAUUGAAAUUUUGAUUUACAGCUUUUUUAAUUGGUUUUCUCCCACUUAGCGCGUCACUCAAGUGAGUCGUGAAUUUCUCUUAUACUGUUGCUCAGUGUGCUCUGCUUAAGGACACCGCGGUAUUAAAAUAAAGCAAAUAAACUACAUCAGUUAUGCAGACUGCAAAUAAGUCACUUAAGUAGGUGCACGACUCAUUCACGUCGUUGUGUUGGCAGCGUGUCCGCACUGUUCUUAGCGACAUCUGGUGGUAGGGUCAAGGUACGGCCUGCAUGGAAGACACGGCAAGACGGGCUGAAGUCUGCAAUGAGCUUCACAACAGCGCUGCGCAGAACGGAUCCGCUGUGCUACAUCGCCAUCCUGUGGAUGACUACCAGACUCAUAUGCAUCCUCAAUCUUUUUCUAAAGACCUGGGAGAGCUUCUUAGACCCUGAUGACACGGCGCACUUCAGAAUGAUCGGGGGAACUUGAUGGAAAUGGGGUUGUCCUUACAACAUAAACCACCACACUGCUUGUUGUUAUCCCCCUCCCUCGUCCUGCGGAAACCCUGAUAAGGAUAAGCGGAAGAGGAUGGAUGGAUGGAUGGAUGGGAGUAGGACACCUGUAAAUACUUUCCUGAAGCCCAAGAAAAAAAAGAAAAUAAAUAAAUAAAUAAAAGAUAGAAUAGCAUAGAAUAGCAUAGAAUAGAAUAGAAUAGAAUAGAAUAGAAUAGAAUAGAAUAAACCUCUAUUAUCCCACGGAUGAGAAAUUUCGGUGUUACAGAGCUCUUAAAGCAAGGGAAAAUUAAAAUAUAAAAGGAAGACACAAGGUGGUCCUAUAAACAUAAGCAACCGAAGUUGUAUAUAAAGGUAUAUACAGGUAACAAUGUACAGAUAGAUGUACAGAUGUAUAGAAAAACUGAAAAAUUGUAUGGAGAUAUGUAUAAAACGUACAGGGUUAUAUAUAAAAUCUACAGAGCUAUGUAUAAAAUGUACAGUAA
This is a long non-coding RNA of Oreochromis niloticus (Nile tilapia), 1143 nucleotides long. RefSeq lists it as uncharacterized. NCBI's taxonomy places the organism in Eukaryota, Metazoa, Chordata, Actinopteri, Cichliformes, Cichlidae. The transcript is spliced from 3 exons. The record is from RefSeq and is a predicted model, not a curated record.